Molecule: long non-coding RNA, 980 nt
Filed under: Brassica napus (rape)
Lineage: Eukaryota; Viridiplantae; Streptophyta; Magnoliopsida; Brassicales; Brassicaceae
Description: long non-coding RNA (BNAP_LNC011650)
Source: RNAcentral
CUUGUCUUUGGGAUUUUUUAUUUCAUCUUCUAAAUCUGAGUAUAUCUAUUCUUAUCAAUCUAUUAUCUGUCUAUCUGUUUGCAAGUAAACAAAUCAGAUAUAUAAAAAAGAAAGAAAAAUCGAAAAUAUCCCAGAAGAAAUCGGAUUCAAUAUAGGAAAAUCGAACUGAGGUUUGGUAAAGAGAGUUAUUCUUUAUAUACAAUCUUUGAAUUCAAUAACUGCUUCUCCGCGCUUGGUUUCUUGAUCCUUCUUCCGAAGUUGGACUCUGCAACUGAUGUCUAACAUGAAGGGGCAGAUAUUAGUAUAGAUAGUGAUUAUCAAUAACUAGUUAAUAAAUUAAUAUCAUGUAUAAAUCUAGUCUUAUCUUUAGAUAACAUCUUAACAAACCUAACAACAUGUUGUAUAACACAACUCUAGUGAUCAAUGAAAAUCAUUACUGGACAAUAUUUCUACAUCAAGUUACCUUUAGGCUGCAAGGAAGUGUAAUUUUGGUCGAAUUUCCACUCCUCACCCUUUGAAGAUAUUGUCAAAUCUAUUUCUCUGUGGAUUCAGUUUGGGAGAGGACACUAGUUAUGGUUUUUCACCCUCACGUACUGGAAUCAAAGCUAGCCGACGGCACAGUUAUGCAUUGUAGCUGAUUUCCUUGGUCUAGGGAAAUUAGCAAAUGCAUAAUUAUUGUUCCUUGUAAUAUCUAUCCACCAAAAAGGGGCAUAGUACCAGAAUUUAUGUUUUGGCAUUUCUAAUAGAUGGUCAAAAUCAUCCGAAGAAAAGUCUUAAAAUAUUAUUUUUCAACUACUGGCAGAAGAGCUGAAAGAUUUGUUAUCAAACGGCAUUCAAGCAUUUGUUAUUUAAACCAAGUAAACUUACUUAUUGUGAGCUUUGUUUAUGAGCACGAUAAUAGCUAGUUAAAUGUUCAUGGUAUUUGGAAUGUAUUAACGAGUUUUAUUUUUCCAUAGACUAAAAUCUAGAGAUAGAGUCCC